RNAcentral lists this ribosomal RNA (804 nucleotides) under uncultured bacterium. RNAcentral describes it as "bacterial SSU rRNA". It matches the Rfam family "Bacterial small subunit ribosomal RNA", at positions 60 to 869 of the family's 1533-position model. The record is from RNAcentral.
AGUCGACGGAGUCUUUGCGGAAGUUUACUUUUGUGAAGACUUAGUGGCGGACGGGUGAGUAACACGUGGGUAAUCUGCCUGAGAGACUGGGACAACAGGGGGAAACCGCUGCUAAUACCAGAUAAGCUCACGGGGACGGGAGUUCCUGGGAGAAAAGGAGAAAUCCGCUUUCAGAUGAGCCCGCGGCUGAUUAGCCAGUUGGUGGGGUAACGGCCUACCAAAGCGACGAUCAGUAGCCGGCCUGAGAGGGUGUACGGCCACACUGGAACUGAGACACGGUCCAGACUCCUACGGGAGGCAGCAGUGGGGAAUUUUCCGCAAUGGGCGAAAGCCUGACGGAGCAAUGCCGCGUGAGUGAGGAAGGCCUUCGGGUUGUAAAACUCUGUCUUCGGGGACGAAUAAAUGACGGUACCCGAGGAGGAAGCCACGGCUAACUACGUGCCAGCGGCCGCGGUAAUACGUAGGUGGCGAGCGUUGUCCGGAAUGACUGGGCGUAAAGGGCGUGUAGGUGGACUGAUCAGUCGGAUGUGAAAGCCCCAGGCUUAACCUGGGAACCGCAUCCGAUACGGUCAGUCUUGAGUGCGGGAGAGGGCAGUGGAAUUCCCAGUGUAGCGGUGAAAUGCGUAGAGAUUGGGAGGAACACCAGUGGCGAAGGCGGCUGCCUGGACCGUAACUGACACUGAGGCGCGAAAGCGUGGGGAGCAAACAGGAUUAGAUACCCUGGUAGUCCACGCCGUANACGAUGGGUACUAGGNGUAGGAGGUGUCGACCCCUUCUGUGCCGGAGUUAACACAAUAAGUACCC